Molecule: non-coding RNA, 1984 nt
Organism: Oryctolagus cuniculus (rabbit)
Lineage: Eukaryota; Metazoa; Chordata; Mammalia; Lagomorpha; Leporidae
Source: RefSeq, a predicted model, not a curated record
CAGGACUCUGGCAUUCUGAUGUGGGAUGUGACGUUGCGAGUGCUGGCUUCACCUGCUGUGUCACAACGUUGGCCCCAUUUGUGAGUUCUUUAAUGUUGUUUGGGUCUCAGUUUGUUUCUUUGGGUCGCUUUUUGUCAUGUUUCGUCAUCUCAUCUUUGAAGUUUUAUGUUCUGAAGUCCUAUUCCUACUCUGUAGUUGUAGAGCCCUGAGCAGUCAUGUGGCAUUUUCUUCCAGUGUCGGCAUUAGGUUUCCUUCUAGAUUGGAUGCUUUGUCCUUGGAAUACUUUCCUUUUGAGCUUGUGCUUGCGUAGUUGACAUCUGUUUCUUGUGCUUGGACAUUUCUACCCAAGUUCUCUUUUGCUGUUAAGUAAUAUGACUUUUGGACUAAUUUCUCAGUGUCUCUGACACAGCUGAGCCCUGGAUUGAGGUCUGGGUAUUUUGAGUUCUGAACAAUUCCCCUUUAACCUGGGGUCAUGGUGGUAUGAAGGCAGAAAGUGGGAAAGCUCAUUGGGGCAGCUUAUUUCUGAGAUUUUGUCCAUACAUUACCCUAAGCUUACAUAUCCCGGGAGAAUGGGGCGGAGUUAACACCCAUUGCCCUGAGCCUUACUGGUGAGGGGCACAGCAUGAGGAAUCCCACCCAGCGUCCUGAAACAAACCAGUGAAGGUGCUGGAGCAAGCCCUGUGGGGCAGUUGGAGGCUGAGCCAGGCUGGCAACAGAGGGAGAAAGACGUGGUCCCCACAGCCUGGAGCUUCCUUGGUCUCCUUACUGGCCACCAUGAGAGCAGGUGGGUGGGGCCAGAGAGGGACAGGCAUCUCCAUGGCUGCCUAGGACUGCGUCCCAGGAUUGGGACCCUGCAGUGGAGGAUCUAGAAGACUCUGAGCAGGUGGCUAGAGUCCAGUUCUACACGAGGUCAGGUUGCCAGGGACCAUUUGUUGACGUUUCUAGGGAGGAAUGAGGAGGAAUAGGUCCACUGAACAUGAUGAUGCUCGUGUGUUCCAUCCAGGAUGAGUUCCAAGGCUUCAGAAACACUCUCUUUUGUCUAAUUAGUCAUUGGGAUCGUGUCUCCAUGGAGACCAUUGUGCCUGGACCCACAAUAGACACGCUUGCAUCCAUUAAAGGGGCACAGUCGCCAGACGUAAGCUGUGGGCCCAGGGUGGAGGGGCCGCAGAGGUUGCCGGCAAAGUGUCAGAAGAUGAGCAAAGGCUGUCCGUCUCCAGGAAGAGAGACACUGUCCCUGGCACCAGUCCUGGCACCAGAGGGGAAAGUGAAACUGCAGAAACAGAGCUAAGAGAAAUUUGAAGAUGCUGGCAUUGGAGAGAGCAGUACUGUGAUCUCAAGUCAAGGAGUGCUGGCAGUCAAGGAAAGCAGAAGAGGUGAGGAACAGGCUCUUUCUUCCAGUGACUGGAGUGAGCACCACCCUGUGGGUGCCUUCAUUAUGGUCCAGUGGUACUGAUUUCAAGCUCCGGCUUCUGGAAUGCUAAGGCCCCAGACACACUGGAGAGCAGAGACAAGCCGUCACGGCUGUUCCAUUUGGAUUCCUACAGAAUCCACGAGCAGUGAAACAAGAGCGUCACAAGCCGGCAGUUGCUGAGGAGGGCUUAGGGUGCAGCGGGAGAUAACUGGAUCAAGAUUUCAACACUUGCAAACGGCCUUCAGUCAUCAACUCUAAUCAGCACGCAGGGGCUUUGUACACACAGGACCCCCGGUCUGGAGCAUUCUGCCCUCUUCAGCUAGCCACUGGGGACCCAUCUCUUAAUCUCAACUCAGAUAUCACUGCCUCUAGGCAUGCUUCCGGGUGGGCCCCAAAUAGGGGCUUCUAGCACACACCAGGCGUCUCUGAACGGGCCCCUGUAACCUUGGACUGGCUUGUCUUGAUCCUUCCCCACUGGACUAUGAGUUCUUUGAGGGUGGGGUCCGUAGCCAGCUCCCCAGAUCCUGGCAAAGUGCUUGGCACACGUUGGCUUUCAGUGAAUAUUAAAUGAAU